AUUAUUACGAGUUUGAUCCUGGCUCCGGAAGAACGCAAGAGAUGUGCUUAACACAUGCUAAUUGAAUGGUAUUAAUAUAUCAUAGUGUAAUAGUGAGUAAUGUAUGAGAAUUUAUUUUUAGAAUAUAAUAAAAAUUUAAUAAUUUAUAAUAAACGCAAUAGUGUUUUAAAAGAUAAUUAUUGUCUAAAAAAAAGCUCAUAUCUAAUUAGCUAGUUGGUGAAGUAAUAGUUUUACCAAGGCGAAGAUUAGUAGCUGCCUUGAGAGGGGAAACAGCCACAUAGAGAUUGAAAUACAGCUCUAACUCCUAAGGGGGGCAGCAGUGGGGAAUUUUCUGCAAUAAGCGCAAGCUUGACAGAGCGUCAUCACAUGAAGGAGGAAGGCCUAUAAAGGUUGUAAACUUCUUUUGCUUAAAAAAAUAAUACUGACGUUUAAGUUUAAAAAGUAUCGGCUAACUCCGUGCCAGCAGCCGCGGUAAUACGGGGGAUACAAGCGUUUUCCAAAAUUACUGGGCGUAAAGUGUAUGUAGGUGGAUUGGUAUGUUCUUCCUUAAAUACUAUUUGAUAAAUUUAGAAAAAGGAAGAAAACUAUUAAUCUUGAGUUCGAUAAGGGUAAGAGGAAUUUUUUGAGGAGUAGUGAAAUGCGAAGAUACAAAAAAGAAGAUCAACAGCGAAAGCAUCUUACUGGGUCGAUACUGACACUGAGAUACGAAAGUUAAGGUAGCAAAUGGGAUUAGAUACCCCAGUAGUCUUAACUGUAAACAAUGGAUACUCGGUACUGGAGACAUUAAAUAUAUAAAUUCAGUACCCUAGCUAACGCGUUAAGUAUUCCGCCUGAGUAGUACGCUCGCAAGGGUGAAACUCAAAGGAAUUGACGGGGGCUCGUACAAGCGGUGGAGCAUGUAAUUUAAUUCGAUGUAACGCGAUAAACCUUACCAGAACUAGACUAAAUUUAUUUUAAAUUAUUAAUAUUAAUUAAUAAAAAAUUUACAGGAGGUGCAUGGCUGUCGUCAGCUCGUGUCGUGAGAUGUUGGGUUAAGUCCCGCUACGAGCGCUACCCUUAUUUAAAGUUUUUUAUAUCUUUAAAAACAGACUAUAUAAAUUUUUGUACUAAAUUAGUAGGAAGGAGAGGAAAACGUCAAGUCUUUAUGCCCUUUAUGUUCUGGGCUACAUAC
Molecule: non-coding RNA, 1171 nt
Filed under: Toxoplasma gondii VEG
Lineage: Eukaryota; Apicomplexa; Conoidasida; Eucoccidiorida; Sarcocystidae
Description: Bacterial small subunit ribosomal RNA
Rfam family: Bacterial small subunit ribosomal RNA
Source: Rfam by way of RNAcentral